RNAcentral lists this ribosomal RNA (465 nucleotides) under uncultured bacterium. RNAcentral's name for it is "partial 16S ribosomal RNA". It matches the Rfam family "Bacterial small subunit ribosomal RNA", at positions 338 to 795 of the family's 1533-position model. The record is from RNAcentral.
CCUACGGGUGGCAGCAGUAGGGAAUCUUCCACAAUGGGCGAAAGCCUGAUGGAGCAACGCCGCGUGGGUGAAGAAGGUCUUCGGAUCGUAAAACCCUGUUGUUAGAGAAGAAAGUGCGUGAGAGUAACUGUUCCCGUUUCGACGGUAUCUACCCAGAAAGCCCCGGCUAACUACGUGUCAGCAGCCGCGGUAAUACGUAGGUGGCAAGCGUUAUCCGGAUGUAUUGGGCGUAAAGGUGAGGCAGGCGGUCUUUUAAGUCUGAUGUGAAAGCCUUCGGCUUAACCGGAGUAGUGCAUUGGAAACUGGGAGACUUGAGUGCAGAAGAGGAGAGUGGAACUCCAUGUGUAGCGGUGAAAUGCGUAGAUAUAUGGAAGAACACCAGUGGCGAAAGCGGCUCUCUGGUCUGUAACUGACGCUGAGGUUCGAAAGCGUGGGUAGCAAACAGGAUUAGAUACCCGAGUAGUC